This 508-nucleotide ribosomal RNA is filed under the name uncultured bacterium. RNAcentral describes it as "partial 16S ribosomal RNA". It matches the Rfam family "Bacterial small subunit ribosomal RNA", at positions 28 to 523 of the family's 1533-position model. The record is from RNAcentral.
GAUGAACGCUAGCUACAGGCUUAACACAUGCAAGUCGAGGGGAAACGACAUCGAAAGCUUGCUUUUGAUGGGCGUCGACCGGUGCACGGGUGAGUAACGCGUAUCCAACCUGCCCACCACUUGGGGAUAACCUUGCGAAAGUCAGACUAAUACCCAAUGACGUCUCUAGAAGACAUCUGAAGGAGCUUAAAGAUUUAUCGGUGAUGGAUGGGGAUGCGUCUGAUUAGCUUGUUGGCGGGGUAACGGCCCACCAAGGCGACGAUCAGUAGGGGUUCUGAGAGGAAGGUCCCCCACAUUGGAACUGAGACACGGUCGAAACUCCUACGGGAGGCAGCAGUGAGGAAUAUUGGUCAAUGGGCGAGAGCCUGAACCAGCCAAGUAGCGUGCAGGAUGACGGCCCUAUGGGUUGUAAACUGCUUUUAUAAGGGAAUAAAGUGAGUCUCGUGAGACUUUUUGCAUGUACCUUAUGAAUAAGGACCGGCUAAUUCCGUGCCAGCAGCCGCGGUAA